RNAcentral lists this transfer RNA (64 nucleotides) under Cavia porcellus (domestic guinea pig). It matches the Rfam family "tRNA". From Rfam's summary of the family: Transfer RNA (tRNA) molecules are approximately 80 nucleotides in length. Their secondary structure includes four short double-helical elements and three loops (D, anti-codon, and T loops). Lineage: Eukaryota; Metazoa; Chordata; Mammalia; Rodentia; Caviidae. The record is from Rfam by way of RNAcentral.
GGGGAUUUAGCUCAGCGGCAUAAGCGCCUGCCUUGCAAGCAGGCAGUCGUGAGUACCAUCCCCA